UAAGAGGAAAUGAAAGAGCACAGGGUUUGAACUCAGGACUGACUGCAGUCUGGGCUACACCCCUUACUAGCUCUGUGACCUGCGAGGCCCUUAGCACGGCACAUCUCAGUUUCUGCAUCUGUAAAAUGAGGAUGAUAAAACCUACCCCACAGUGGUUUGCAUGUGUAUAUCUGCAUACAAAUAAAGAUAAAACUAUACAAGGAAAAUGAAUGUGCAAGGCGCCUGAGGGAUGCUCACUACGGAUUGAUUUCCAAGCCCUUUAAGGAUAUUUGGGAGUUGGUAGGUUCCAAGUAAAUUUUGCUGGGCACACACAAGGCCUUUUGUUCACCCUUCUUCCUUUGCCAUCCUGACAUUCCUGAUGACACAGACAACCCACCUGGGGGGGCUGCCCACGCCCCUAGGCACCAAGUGUCUCCAUUUUGGAGGAGAUAGGGGAGCCCUGGAAAGGAAGCUGUUUUCUACUUUGAAAACCCCAGAAAGUGCAAGGCUCUGGGACAGGCUGAUACUGUCUCUUUUCUCCCUCUGCCAUGCUUUACAGAACAUUCUGGGCUUCCUGUCCCAGCCUGAGGGAGAAACCAAGGGUACACAUCACUAGAAAAUAACUACGAGGCCAGAGUCUUACACGGGAACUUGGAUCCGGAGUGGGCUUUGGGCAGACAAGGAGGAGACUGUUGCAGAGCUGGGAUGGUGAGGAAGGGUGCCCAGGGCCCCAAGGGGGCCGGGAACAAAGGACUUAGUCUCCCAACAAGCCUGGGCCAGGUCAGGCGGAACUGGGGGAGUCGUGAGCGGAAAACCACCCGGGCCCCUCCAGCUAAGGGCGAGGUGUGGAAUGUGAGAGGAAGGUGAACGGAAUGGCAUGAAGGGACUUCGGUUCUGAUUCACAGUUUGACUCUGAAGCAUUCCAAACGUGGUGGGAACAGAGCCUGUUUGGAGAGGAUUGUUAUCUGAGGACAGAGCAGGAUGAAGGGAAGGGUGGGGGGUGAUGGCUGACGGCUGCAGAGAGCAUUCCAGCUUGCAGAUAAGUGAAGCCAGAAGGUUAGGCAUGAUUCAGUGGAAGUCUGAAGAACUACCCGUUCCACUCCUGACCUGAAUUGAAAUGAGACACACCAGGAAGAACUUUUGAGGCUACGUGGGUCCGUAAUGCUGGGCUUGAUCAGUGGCUGUCAGAUUUCAGCUAAAGACAUUUCCUCUUACUCUAAAUUUGCAUUCCAGGAAACAUGCCUGUUCACUUGCGUGUGUUAACUGAAAACUUCCCUGCAGGCUCUGCAAUGCAGAAGACCCAAGUUUGAUCCCUGGGUUGGG
This 1302-nucleotide long non-coding RNA is filed under the name Capra hircus (goat). RNAcentral describes it as "lncRNA (ENSCHIG00010016434.1)". The record is from RNAcentral. Lineage: Eukaryota; Metazoa; Chordata; Mammalia; Artiodactyla; Bovidae.